Molecule: transfer RNA, 72 nt
Filed under: Ovis aries (sheep)
Lineage: Eukaryota; Metazoa; Chordata; Mammalia; Artiodactyla; Bovidae
Rfam family: tRNA
About the family: Transfer RNA (tRNA) molecules are approximately 80 nucleotides in length. Their secondary structure includes four short double-helical elements and three loops (D, anti-codon, and T loops). Further hydrogen bonds mediate the characteristic L-shaped molecular structure. tRNAs have two regions of fundamental functional importance: the anti-codon, which is responsible for specific mRNA codon recognition, and the 3' end, to which the tRNAs corresponding amino acid is attached (by aminoacyl-tRNA synthetases). tRNAs cope with the degeneracy of the genetic code in two manners: having more than one tRNA (with a specific anti-codon) for a particular amino acid; and 'wobble' base-pairing, i.e. permitting non-standard base-pairing at the 3rd anti-codon position.
Source: Rfam by way of RNAcentral
UCCCUGGUGGUACAGUGGUUAGAAUUUGGUGCUUUCACCAUGGUAGCCCAGGUUAAAUUCCUGGUUGGGGAA